This 486-nucleotide long non-coding RNA is filed under the name Mytilus galloprovincialis (Mediterranean mussel). The record is from RNAcentral. Lineage: Eukaryota; Metazoa; Mollusca; Bivalvia; Mytilida; Mytilidae.
AGGACAAACAAGUUUUAUUUACUGCAAAACAAAACUCUCAGAAUUGUGCUUCGUGUCUUUUUUUGUUGGGAUAUACAAGUUCCCGGCCAUGUCCAUUCUUUGUAUUAUUUCUAUUUGUAUCUAUCUGAUGAGUUAAGGCUUUUUCAAUUGAUUUCUAUAGUUCAUUUUUAUGUUGUAAUGUUACACCACUGUCCAAGGUAGGGAGAGGGUUAGGAUCCCGCUAACAUGUUUAACCCCACCACAUUCUAAAUGUAUGUGCAUGCCAACUGUUAGGAGCCUGUUUUUGUGGUUGUCGUUUGUUGAUGUGUUAAAUUUAGUCCUGGUAUCUAUGAUGAGUUUAUUUACAUAUUUGUUUUUCGUUCACUUUUUGUUCAUUAAUAAGUUCGUCAGUUUUCUCGUUUGAAUUGUUUUACAUUUAUCAUUUCGGGGUCUUUUACAGUGGACUAGCCAGUAUAGGCUUUGCUUACUGUUGAAGGCCGUACGGUA